UUAUUAACAAAUCUAAGUCUCCCACCUCCACAAUCCAAAACCCCUAAACUGAACACUCACCUCCACCUCCACCUCCACCUCCACGUCCAGCUCCAGAAUCCAAAACCCCUAAACUGAACACUCACAGCCUGUGAUUUAGCUGCAAAAAUGGAGACAAUGGAGGCCAAUCAGCAAAUUGAAGAAACUACCCUUGUCAACCAAGCCGCCUCCUCCGCCUGUCCUCCUCCUCCGCCAUCUCUAUCUAAGAGCGCGCAGAAGAAGCUGCUGAAGC
RNAcentral lists this long non-coding RNA (271 nucleotides) under Panax ginseng (ginseng). Its description in RNAcentral is "long non-coding RNA (PGIN_LNC005554)". Lineage: Eukaryota; Viridiplantae; Streptophyta; Magnoliopsida; Apiales; Araliaceae. The record is from RNAcentral.